GAAAAUCAGCUAUAUUUUUUACUGCUACACAAGUGAAGUGGAAAAUUCUCCCACCUUCAUCACCAGGCUGUCUGCCAGGGGAAGAAGUCCAAGGAAGGUGCUAGGUGGAGAAGUAACAGAAGCCACAGAUGGGCUUCUCAAGCUGUGGUCCACACGUCACCUGGAUCGGAACAAUCUGCAGUGCUUAAAAUGUAGCCCCCAACAUUCUGGAGUGGAAAAAAAACCUUCGUGGAAAAAAACCUUCCCUGCAGAGAAGUGAGACUGCAUGUGCGCCCUCCUUCAUAAGUGCUGAACUUGCUACAGAAAGGUGGCUGCAUGUGAACAGCUGCUGUGAGCCUUGUUUGCUGGCUGCUGGCACCAAUCUACGUCCUCCCCACUCCUCAGUCAAUGCAUAGACGUCCAGGAGGGAAGAGAAUUACCUGAAGGGAUGCCUCCUCCAAACCCUCCAUCUUGACAAGAGCCAC
Bubalus bubalis (water buffalo) is the source of this 464-nucleotide long non-coding RNA. RefSeq lists it as uncharacterized. NCBI's taxonomy places the organism in Eukaryota, Metazoa, Chordata, Mammalia, Artiodactyla, Bovidae. The record is from RefSeq and is a predicted model, not a curated record. The transcript has 4 exons.